Molecule: ribosomal RNA, 253 nt
Filed under: uncultured bacterium
Lineage: Bacteria
Description: partial 16S ribosomal RNA
Rfam family: Bacterial small subunit ribosomal RNA
Source: RNAcentral
UACGAAGGGGGCUAGCGUUGCUCGGAUUGACUGGGCGUAAAGGGCGCGUAGGCGGUUCGUACAGUCAGACGUGAAAUUCCCGGGCUCAACCUGGGGGCUGCACUUGAUACGUAGGAACUGGAGUGGGGAAGAGGGUCGUGGAAUUCCCAGUGUAGAGGUGAAAUUCGUAGAUAUUGGGAAGAACACCGGUGGCGAAGGCGGCGACCUGGUCCUUGACUGACGCUGAGGCGCGAAAGCGUGGGGAGCGAGCAGG